This 876-nucleotide long non-coding RNA is filed under the name Cavia porcellus (domestic guinea pig). RNAcentral's name for it is "lncRNA (ENSCPOG00000039974.1)". Lineage: Eukaryota; Metazoa; Chordata; Mammalia; Rodentia; Caviidae. The record is from RNAcentral.
GAGAGGAUAUCUCUCUGUCAAGUAAAACCAAACCCAGAAAUGGUAGGGUACAUUGGAUCGUCGAGACCUACCUCCUCCAGGCAAAUGGAGAAUCUGCAGGUGUGCUCCAUUUUAUGUUCCCAGGUCUGGCAAUCUCGAUCAUUGGCUAGAUGCACCAUGCAGGGGAUCUCACAGCCAAAGGAGAUUUGCUUCAGCUUAAAAUUCAUAUGGUGCCAUAACAAUGCCAUUAAGUUGCUCUGGAUUUUUGGAAAACCUCUCCUUGGCGUUUCAUCUUCUUGCCAGCUACAGAUCUUAUUGUGGCUCCUUGACCACUAGGACUUGGUAUGACAGGACUACAUGUGGCCACAGAGUAAAGGGAAGACGUAGGGUAGACAUGAACAGUGAUGAAACUGUGAAAGCUGUGAUCUCAAAGUUGGAUGGUCCGUCCACAGUGACCCCAAACUUCCCUGCUGGUGGUGGCACAGGAGUGAUAAGGAAGACCUUCAAGCAGGCACCAAGUUUUCCAGGGCUGUAUCAGCUGAGGCUUUCUGGCUGAUUCUCCGCCUCCCAUUUCAAUUCUGCUCAAAAUCCAUCUCCGCCAACUCUAUCCACAGAGUGGAAAGUGUGGAAAAUGGUUGGCCUGAACUUACCCAGGAAAUAAGCUGUGAGUGACUGAUCUAUGUUAUCCUGAGUCCUCCUCAGAGCUACAACCCAGUAACCAGCUGGGAGCAGAGCAGCAACACCAGGUUGCUGCAUCUUGGCAAUCAGAGUGGAAGAGCAACUUCUCCUUCCUGCUACCGAAUUCAUUAUUGCCUAUUUAAUCACUUCUUCAUUGAUUAAUCCAAAGUGUUGGAAAUGUGUUUUGUCUGUCACGUAGAAUUCCAUAAAGAAUUUCUG